AGUUUACAGACUCCACCUAUUUUGGGGGUUUCUAAAGUUUGGUUUUUGUAUUGAAAUGCAGAACAUAUGUUUUGUAUUACUAUCUCUAAUUUAGUUUAGUGUUGUUCUCUUUGGUUGAAUAGUUUAGUGUUUCCAAGGAGAUAUUUUUACACUAAGAGGCAGAAAGAUGCAAAUGUCGAUGACCAAGUAUAGGCACAUUUGAUUUGAAUUCUU
Molecule: long non-coding RNA, 213 nt
Organism: Arabidopsis thaliana (thale cress)
Lineage: Eukaryota; Viridiplantae; Streptophyta; Magnoliopsida; Brassicales; Brassicaceae
Product: other RNA
Exons: 1
Source: RefSeq